Long non-coding RNA from Aquila chrysaetos chrysaetos, 161 nucleotides. RefSeq lists it as uncharacterized. Lineage: Eukaryota; Metazoa; Chordata; Aves; Accipitriformes; Accipitridae. The transcript is spliced from 2 exons. The record is from RefSeq and is a predicted model, not a curated record.
AAGCAGCUUUUAUACGUACCAGUGAAAUCUUCAAAACAAGUUGCUGCCAGAAGAGAUAAGGCUGCAUACCACAACGACAAGAAAAAUAGUAGGAUUGGCUGUAGAAGAGCAAUCUUCCCUAUGCACGUUCAACGAUGAGGACUAGAUCCUAUAAAGAGCAG